GCCGAGAUGGUGGAACUGGUAGACGCACCGGACUCAAAAUCCGGCGCCGCAAGGCGUGGGGGUUCGACUCCCCCUCUCGGCACCA
RNAcentral lists this transfer RNA (85 nucleotides) under Helicobacteraceae bacterium. RNAcentral's name for it is "tRNA-Leu". It matches the Rfam family "tRNA". From Rfam's summary of the family: Transfer RNA (tRNA) molecules are approximately 80 nucleotides in length. Their secondary structure includes four short double-helical elements and three loops (D, anti-codon, and T loops). Further hydrogen bonds mediate the characteristic L-shaped molecular structure. tRNAs have two regions of fundamental functional importance: the anti-codon, which is responsible for specific mRNA codon recognition, and the 3' end, to which the tRNAs corresponding amino acid is attached (by aminoacyl-tRNA synthetases). tRNAs cope with the degeneracy of the genetic code in two manners: having more than one tRNA (with a specific anti-codon) for a particular amino acid; and 'wobble' base-pairing, i.e. permitting non-standard base-pairing at the 3rd anti-codon position. The record is from RNAcentral. Lineage: Bacteria; Pseudomonadati; Campylobacterota; Epsilonproteobacteria; Campylobacterales; Helicobacteraceae.